AAAAAAAUGACACUAGACCACCAACUUACACCAUACAAAAAAAUAAACUCAAAAUGGAUAAAGGACUUAAGCAUAACAUAAGUCGGGAAACCAUAAAAAUAUUAGAGGAAUCC
Long non-coding RNA from Myotis davidii, 113 nucleotides. RefSeq lists it as uncharacterized. The transcript is spliced from 2 exons. NCBI's taxonomy places the organism in Eukaryota, Metazoa, Chordata, Mammalia, Chiroptera, Vespertilionidae. The record is from RefSeq and is a predicted model, not a curated record.